RNAcentral lists this ribosomal RNA (459 nucleotides) under uncultured bacterium. RNAcentral's name for it is "partial 16S ribosomal RNA". It matches the Rfam family "Bacterial small subunit ribosomal RNA", at positions 341 to 792 of the family's 1533-position model. The record is from RNAcentral.
ACGGGAGGCAGCAGUCGAGGAUCAUUUGCAAUGGGCGAAAGCCUGACAAUGCGACGCUGCGUGGAGGAUGAAGGCCUUCGGGUUGUAAACUCCUGUCAUAGGGGAACAGGCGAGGGGACCCAACACGUCCCUUAGUUGAGUGUACCCUAAGAGGAAGCGACGGCUAACUCUGUGCCAGCAGCCGCGGUAAUACAGAGGUCGCGAGCGUUGUUCGGAUUUACUGGGCGUAAAGGGCGCGUAGGCUGCGAAGUGUGUCGGAUGUGAAAUCUCCGGGCCCAACCCGGAAAGUGCGUCCGAAACUGCUUCGCUGGAGGACGGAAUGGGGAAUCGGAAUGCAGGGUGUAGCGGUGAAAUGCGUUGAUAUCCUGCAGAACACCGGAGGCGAAGGCGGAUUCCUGGUACGUAUCUGACGCUGAGGCGCGAAAGUCGGGGGAGCAAACAGGAUUAGAUACCCUGGUA